This 621-nucleotide long non-coding RNA is filed under the name Gossypium raimondii (Peruvian cotton). Its description in RNAcentral is "long non-coding RNA (GRAI_LNC003672)". The record is from RNAcentral. Lineage: Eukaryota; Viridiplantae; Streptophyta; Magnoliopsida; Malvales; Malvaceae.
UCGAUUAAUACGUCCCUUUGCCGAAUCUAAACGCAAAUUUAACAACAAAAUGGGCUAAAUAAGUAAAUUGAACCCCCCUUAUCUAGCGUUUAAUGGCUUACCUCCAAACAAAACAGUUGAACACUGCAAAACUUAACUUGUCGAAUGAUCAACCACCUCGUGAACUUCUCCUAAAAGAAAUUAACGAUUAACAUGACACACCACACUCGAUUAAAAAACCAAACAAAAAUAAAGAAAAAUAAGAAGAACCAUAUCACUUACUAAAGAACGAAUUGGCUAAAAAUUGACCACACACCCCACCAAAAUUGUAUGAAAAACGGCACUAACCAAAAGAAAUAAAGAAAAAUUUGCAAAUGAUUAAGAAAGAAAAACAAAUUCAGAAAAUCUGGUACUGGUUCCACGUGAAGUAAUUUGGGUAGAAUAAAAUAAAAUCUGGUACUGGUUCCACGUGAAGAAAACAAAUAAAGCAUUAAAAAUAAAAUCAAAACCAACCCAACUACUUAAUUCCUAUUAGAUUACUCAAAGACCGAUUUAAUUUAAAUCCAACCACUAACAAGCCAACUUGAAAAAAACAAACAAAAAUAUAGCAAAAUCUUCCCACUUUGUUCACUUUGAGACUCG